Long non-coding RNA from Daphnia magna, 328 nucleotides. RefSeq lists it as uncharacterized. The transcript has 2 exons. NCBI's taxonomy places the organism in Eukaryota, Metazoa, Arthropoda, Branchiopoda, Diplostraca, Daphniidae. The record is from RefSeq and is a predicted model, not a curated record.
UCGACGCCUAACUUGCCUUAGUGUUUUCUCUUACAAGUGUUUCUCCGCCUGCCUGUUUCCAUGACUGGUCGAUCUGGAGUCGACCAUAAGUCUCUCUGAAACUUAGAGAGGGGAGUCGGGAUUUGGCCCGACGUCCGACAGGACGUUAAGAGGUGGCUUUGCUUGAAGCUGGCUAGCCUCGCGUAAGUCCUUAAAGAAGGAGCCUUGUGUAAACUGGCUACCCUUCGCGUAUUCUGUUGUAAAUAGUAACUUCUGUAUUAUUCGGUAUGAAUGUUUGUUGUAAGCUUUGUGCCCGAGCUUGUGCCAAUAAAGAAACUGUAACAGUGUC